AACAGCACACUGCCGUCUACGUAGCCCCUGAUGCUAACAUUAGCACAAGUUUGGCUCACUGCUAACCAUAGUGAACAAACUGCAGCGCGAUCACCUGGAG
Long non-coding RNA from Perca fluviatilis (European perch), 100 nucleotides. RefSeq lists it as uncharacterized. NCBI's taxonomy places the organism in Eukaryota, Metazoa, Chordata, Actinopteri, Perciformes, Percidae. The record is from RefSeq and is a predicted model, not a curated record. The transcript is spliced from 3 exons.